RNAcentral lists this unclassified non-coding RNA (365 nucleotides) under uncultured bacterium. Its description in RNAcentral is "contains 16S-23S intergenic spacer region". The record is from RNAcentral.
UCCCUCAAAUGAGGGCAGUCUCGUCUGAAAAAUCCAACAGACGAUGAGGGUUUCGCUCGUUUACCCACUUAAGGGCACAGCUCACGCCACGAGCUGACGACAGCCGUGCAACACCUGUCUUGCCGUUCCCUUGCGGGCACGGUCCUGUUUCCAGGACUUUCGGCAGAUGUCAAACCCUGGUAAGGUUCUCCGGUUAGCGUCGAAUUAAACCACAUGCUCCACCGCUUGUGCGAUCCCCCGUCAAUUCCUUUAUGUUUUAGUCUUGCGACCGUACUCCACAGGCGGCACACUUAACGCGUUAGCUACGCUACAAGAAGGGUCGAUACUUCUGAUAGCUAGUGUGCAUCGUUUACGGCGUGGACUAC